GGAUCCAGACUUUGAUUAUGGCUCAGGAUGAACGCUAGCUACAGGCUUAACACAUGCAAGUCGCGGGGCAGCAUGUCGGUUGCUUGCAACCGAUGAUGGCGACCGGCGCACGGGUGAGUAACGCGUAUCCAACCUGCCCUUCACCACGGAAUAAUCCAGUGAAAAUUGGUCCAAUACCGUAUGAGGUCAUACGAUGGCAUCAGAAUAUGACGAAAGGUUUGGCGGUGAAGGAUGGGGAUGCGUCUGAUUAGCUUGUUGGUGAGGUAACGGCUCACCAAGGCGACGAUCAGUAGGGGUUCUGAGAGGAAGGUCCCCCACAUUGGAACUGAGACACGGUCCAAACUCCUACGGGAGGCAGCAGGGGGGAUAUUGGUCAAUGGGCGAGAGCCUGAACCAGCCAAGUAGCGUGCAGGAAGACGGCCCUAUGGGUUGUAAACUGCUUUUAUAUGGGGAUAAAGUGAGUUACGUGUAGCUUAUUGCAGGUACCAUAUGAAUAAGGACCGGCUAAUUCCGUGCCAGCAGCCGCGGUAAUACGGAAGGUCCAGGCGUUAUCCGGAUUUAUUGGGUUUAAAGGGAGCGUAGGCCGCCCCUUAAGCGUGUUGUGAAAUGCCGCGGCUCAACCGUGGCACUGCAGCGCGAACUGGGGGGCUUGAGUGCACGCAACGCAGGCGGAAUUCGUGGUGUAGCGGUGAAAUGCUUAGAUAUCACGAAGAACUCCGAUUGCGAAGGCAGCUUGCGGGAGUGCGACUGACGCUGAAGCUCGAAGGUGCGGGUAUCGAACAGGAUUAGAUACCCUGGUAGUCCGCACAGUAAACGAUGGAUGCCCGCUGUGUGCCCUAGUGGUACGCGGCCAAGCGAAAGCGUUAAGCAUCCCACCUGGGGAGUACGCCGGCAACGGUGCAACUCAAAUGAAUUGACGG
This 920-nucleotide ribosomal RNA is filed under the name uncultured Bacteroidota bacterium. Its description in RNAcentral is "bacterial SSU rRNA". It matches the Rfam family "Bacterial small subunit ribosomal RNA", at positions 1 to 916 of the family's 1533-position model. Lineage: Bacteria; Pseudomonadati; Bacteroidota. The record is from RNAcentral.